UAAAAUCCGUCUACAUAAAAUCAAGUGAAUAAGCUACAUAUAUGCCACUCAGAAAAAAAGAUAUAUGCGAUGUCACAAAUAUUUAAGGUGUAAAUAGCAAAAUGUUAUCUCCAGAUAGUUGGAGUACUUAACGCGAACAUAUUUUGUGUGCAUAAGAAUAUUUGAAGUGUGAAUGCGAAAAUAGUCUAACUAAAUAUCACAGGGGACUUCUGAUAAAAAAAGAAAAUUGUUUCUGUGGAUUUUAAGUGAUUACUGAAGACAAAUCAACCAUCGUUAGUAAAGUAGUUCUACACGUUUGAUAAAGCGGAAGUGAUGGCGUAACGUCAUUUAUCCGGAUAACAUAGAACGAAGCCUGGAUUCGGCGUACGGAAAUGAAAAUCAUUUUAUGAAUGAAUGACAACCCCUGAAGACAUGCUAGCGGGAGGCAAAAGAAUGUAGGGGAGGGGCACAAAAAGGGGGAUGAAGAAAAGAAGCACCAUCACCAUACAAGACUAUAUGCAAAGCAUAUAAAACGAAACGGACAAAUAAAUAAAAAGGUAUUUCUAUUAUUUGUACAAUGGCAUAUUUCCCAAGUUUCUGCGUGCUAGACUAAACAAAUGGUGCAAAGUUAGUACGUAUUUAGUGAUGCCCACUUUGGAUUCCGAUGCAACAGUACUUUUGAUUGUGCGUUUAUUCUACAUUGUAUUAUACAAAACCUUCCCUCCUAGAAGAAUGAAGCUCUGCAUCGUGCCUUCACAGAUUAUGAAAAGGAACUUUAAACCAUUGACUUUUCGGAACUGCUAUUAGCAGCAAAAAUGAUGAAAUUGUUAAAAUCUAUAUAUGAAAAUGUAUCAGCCUGUAUAAAAGUAUUCUCUAAUGUGUCUGAAUUCUCUCUCUCGUCGAUAUUCUUUAUUUUAUUCGUGAACAAUUUUGUGAAAUGAUUUUAAUUGAAUAAGGCUACGGACAUCUUUGGGAAAAAAUCUCAUGUUUAUACAUUGUUUUUCUCUGCUUUUUCAAACAAAGCAGGUAUUUUUAUAUAAUUAAUAUGUCGAAAAUAGAUCAAAAGCUAAAUUUAAAACUAAACUUGAAUAUGAGUUUUACCCGAGUGCAAUAGAAAAUGAUUAUCAUAAAAAAUUGUCAUCAUGUUUUCAAUUAUAGUUACACAAUGUUGCAAUCGAAACAGGGCGAUAUGUGGGUACACACUGAAGACAUAGAAUAUGUAAAAAUGAAAUGCAACAGUCGUACAAUCUGAAUACCGCUUUCUUCGAUAAAUUUUACUAAGUACAUAUAUUAUGCUACUUGUGUUAAAUAUUUGCCAAAUGCGUCAGAAAUUUAGUAGAAUGAUGCCGUUAAACUACAAGAGAACACCUGUUAGAAAAUAUCUUACAGAGGCAUAUAAAUUGAGAGCUGAAAUAAUCAAGGAUAGAUAAUAAUAAAAGUAUCGUAUGUUAUGAUAAUUUGUAUAUAAUACCUAUUCAUGUGCAUGUUCAAUGAUGUUGUUAAAUGUUUAUCUGUUCCUUAACUCUAAACAUAUUAAUGUCGAUUUUGCUAAUAGAUGCUGUUGUCGAUGGUGUUUUUGUUGAUGCUGCUGCUGUUGUAAAUUUAUUUCUCUUGUUAUGUGGUAAAAUAUGUAUUCCACAAGUGUAUUUACUAGGUAACCUGGCAUAAUACACAAAUAAGUGGGACAAAAUUUUGAAAAUCUCUCGAUGCUGAAUGGAUAUUAAGACUAGUUAAAUCAUCAACA
Molecule: long non-coding RNA, 1723 nt
Organism: Mercenaria mercenaria
Lineage: Eukaryota; Metazoa; Mollusca; Bivalvia; Venerida; Veneridae
Exons: 3
Source: RefSeq, a predicted model, not a curated record